RNAcentral lists this transfer RNA (91 nucleotides) under Clostridiales bacterium. RNAcentral's name for it is "tRNA-Ser". It matches the Rfam family "tRNA". From Rfam's summary of the family: Transfer RNA (tRNA) molecules are approximately 80 nucleotides in length. Their secondary structure includes four short double-helical elements and three loops (D, anti-codon, and T loops). Further hydrogen bonds mediate the characteristic L-shaped molecular structure. tRNAs have two regions of fundamental functional importance: the anti-codon, which is responsible for specific mRNA codon recognition, and the 3' end, to which the tRNAs corresponding amino acid is attached (by aminoacyl-tRNA synthetases). tRNAs cope with the degeneracy of the genetic code in two manners: having more than one tRNA (with a specific anti-codon) for a particular amino acid; and 'wobble' base-pairing, i.e. permitting non-standard base-pairing at the 3rd anti-codon position. Lineage: Bacteria; Bacillati; Bacillota; Clostridia; Eubacteriales. The record is from RNAcentral. RNAcentral also lists the same sequence under 3 other names.
GGAGAGUUGGCUGAGUGGUCGAAGGCGCACGACUGGAAAUCGUGUAACGGUGAUGAGCCGUUCUAGGGUUCAAAUCCCUAACUCUCCGCCA